GAUGAACGCUGGCGGCGUGCCUAAUACAUGCAAGUCGAGCGAAAGGAUUAAGAGCUUGCUCUUAUGAAGUUAGCGGCGGACGGGUGAGUAACACGUGGGUAACCUGCCCAUAAGAUUGGGAUAACUCCGGGAAACCGGGGCUAAUACCGGAUAACAUUUUGAACCGCAUGGUUCGAAAUUGAAAGGCGGCUUCGGCUGUCACUUAUGGAUGGACCAGCGUCGCAUUAGCUAGUUGGUGAGGUAACGGCUCACCAAGGCAACGAUGGGUAGCCGACCUGAGAGGGUGAUCGGCCACACUGGGACUGAGACACGGCCCAGACUCCUACGGGAGGCAGCAGUAGGGAAUCUUCCGCAAUGGACGAAAGUCUGACGGAGCAACGCCGCGUGAGUGAUGAAGGCUUUCGGGUCGUAAAACUCUGUUGUUAGGGAAGAACAAGUGCUAGUUGAAUAAGCUGACACCUUGACGGUACCUAACCAGAAAGCCACGGCUAACUACGUGCCAGCCGCCGCGGUAA
This 515-nucleotide ribosomal RNA is filed under the name uncultured bacterium. RNAcentral's name for it is "partial 16S ribosomal RNA". It matches the Rfam family "Bacterial small subunit ribosomal RNA", at positions 28 to 523 of the family's 1533-position model. The record is from RNAcentral.